RNAcentral lists this ribosomal RNA (1499 nucleotides) under metagenome. Its description in RNAcentral is "bacterial SSU rRNA". It matches the Rfam family "Bacterial small subunit ribosomal RNA". The record is from RNAcentral.
GAGUCUGAUCAUGGCUCAGAUUGAACGCUGGCGGCAGGCCUAACACAUGCAAGUCGAACGGUAACAGGAAGCAGCUUGCUGCUUCGCUGACGAGUGGCGGACGGGUGAGUAAUGUCUGGGAAGCUGCCUGAUGGAGGGGGAUAACUACUGGAAACGGUAGCUAAUACCGCAUAAUGUCGCAAGACCAAAGAGGGGGACCUUCGGGCCUCUUGCCAUCGGAUGUGCCCAGAUGGGAUUAGCUUGUUGGUGGGGUAACGGCUCACCAAGGCGACGAUCCCUAGCUGGUCUGAGAGGAUGACCAGCCACACUGGAACUGAGACACGGUCCAGACUCCUACGGGAGGCAGCAGUGGGGAAUAUUGCACAAUGGGCGCAAGCCUGAUGCAGCCAUGCCGCGUGUAUGAAGAAGGCCUUCGGGUUGUAAAGUACUUUCAGCGGGGAGGAAGGGAGUAAAGUUAAUACCUUUGCUCAUUGACGUUACCCGCAGAAGAAGCACCGGCUAACUCCGUGCCAGCAGCCGCGGUAAUACGGAGGGUGCAAGCGUUAAUCGGAAUUACUGGGCGUAAAGCGCACGCAGGCGGUUUGUUAAGUCAGAUGUGAAAUCCCCGGGCUCAACCUGGGAACUGCAUCUGAUACUGGCAAGCUUGAGUCUCGUAGAGGGGGGUAGAAUUCCAGGUGUAGCGGUGAAAUGCGUAGAGAUCUGGAGGAAUACCGGUGGCGAAGGCGGCCCCCUGGACGAAGACUGACGCUCAGGUGCGAAAGCGUGGGGAGCAAACAGGAUUAGAUACCCUGGUAGUCCACGCCGUAAACGAUGUCGACUUGGAGGUUGUGCCCUUGAGGCGUGGCUUCCGGAGCUAACGCGUUAAGUCGACCGCCUGGGGAGUACGGCCGCAAGGUUAAAACUCAAAUGAAUUGACGGGGGCCCGCACAAGCGGUGGAGCAUGUGGUUUAAUUCGAUGCAACGCGAAGAACCUUACCUGGUCUUGACAUCCACGGAAGUUUUCAGAGAUGAGAAUGUGCCUUCGGGAACCGUGAGACAGGUGCUGCAUGGCUGUCGUCAGCUCGUGUUGUGAAAUGUUGGGUUAAGUCCCGCAACGAGCGCAACCCUUAUCCUUUGUUGCCAGCGGUCCGGCCGGGAACUCAAAGGAGACUGCCAGUGAUAAACUGGAGGAAGGUGGGGAUGACGUCAAGUCAUCAUGGCCCUUACGACCAGGGCUACACACGUGCUACAAUGGCGCAUACAAAGAGAAGCGACCUCGCGAGAGCAAGCGGACCUCAUAAAGUGCCUCGUAGUCCGGAUUGGAGUCUGCAACUCGACUCCAUGAAGUCGGAAUCGCUAGUAAUCGUGGAUCAGAAUGCCACGGUGAAUACGUUCCCGGGCCUUGUACACACCGCCCGUCACACCAUGGGAGUGGGUUGCAAAAGAAGUAGGUAGCUUAACCUUCGGGAGGGCGCUUACCACUUUGUGACUCAUGACUGGGGUGAAGUCGUAACAAGGUA